RNAcentral lists this ribosomal RNA (301 nucleotides) under uncultured bacterium. RNAcentral's name for it is "partial 16S ribosomal RNA". It matches the Rfam family "Bacterial small subunit ribosomal RNA", at positions 509 to 808 of the family's 1533-position model. The record is from RNAcentral.
CAGCCGCCGCGGGAACACGGAGGGAGCUAGCGUUGUUCGGAAUCACUGGGCGUAAAGCGCACGUAGGCGGCUAUUCAAGUCAGGGGUGAAAGCCCGGGGCUCAACCCCGGAACUGCCUUUGAAACUAGAUAGCUUGAAUCUUGGAGAGGCGAGUGGAAUUCCGAGUGUAGAGGUGAAAUUCGUAGAUAUUCGGAAGAACACCAGUGGCGAAGGCGACUCGCUGGACAAGUAUUGACGCUGAGGUGCGAAAGCGUGGGAGCAAACAGGAUUAGAUACCCCCGUAGUCCCUGUCUCUUAUACA